AGAUAGGCAGGAAGAUAGUUACAAAAUGGGGAGGCACAGACGUCUAGACGAGUCGAUGGAGCAUCCCGCACGGGGCUCAAGUGAGAUAGAGUUGUUUGCAGACCUUGUCUUUUUGCUGCUUACCUAAAUACCUCAAAAAUC
Non-coding RNA from Caenorhabditis elegans, 141 nucleotides. The record is from Ensembl. Lineage: Eukaryota; Metazoa; Nematoda; Chromadorea; Rhabditida; Rhabditidae.